AUGCACACAGAUGUCUGCCUAAACAAAUGCUUUCACAUAACUGACAGUUCUGUACUUCCAAGCAAAUUUUGUCCCUUGUUUUCAGGAAGACCACACAACCCUGGAGGAUUCUGUCAGAAGGCUCUGCAGGGCUGUACUGUGAAUCAAAGACAGACCCUGCACUCUCCUUUGCUUUGCAUUGGCUCCACUGUGGGAGCUCAAGGAUGUGUCAUGACAUCAGAACAAAACAAGGUAGCCAGCAAAAGCCAGCCAUAGGGAAGAGAGCAGCCAAGAAGAAGAGUGAGCCGACGGAUGACUCCUGGACACACUGGUAAGCGUGGCAUCUGGAAAAGUUUCUUUGAUGACUUGUACAAAAGAAAAUGUUACAAGAGGUACUGAUAGGAAAGUGCGAGCGAUUCACUGAAGAUGAAGCAACUCUCAGAUCAUAACUGUGUCUGUUCUCUUCUGAGCUACCGUAACCUUCACUUACACAAAGUUCCAUGCCCCCUGUUCUCUCCCUAGCGCUCAGGGAUGUG
Molecule: long non-coding RNA, 515 nt
Filed under: Anas platyrhynchos platyrhynchos (common mallard)
Lineage: Eukaryota; Metazoa; Chordata; Aves; Anseriformes; Anatidae
Description: lncRNA (ENSAPLG00000022719.1)
Source: RNAcentral